This 257-nucleotide ribosomal RNA is filed under the name uncultured prokaryote. Its description in RNAcentral is "partial 16S ribosomal RNA". It matches the Rfam family "Bacterial small subunit ribosomal RNA", at positions 524 to 780 of the family's 1533-position model. The record is from RNAcentral.
UACGUAGGUGGCGAGCGUUAUCCGGAAUUAUUGGACGUAAAGAGCGCGCAGGUGGUUGAUUAAGUCUGAUGUGAAAGCCCACGGCUCAACCGUGGAAGGUCAUUGGAAACUGGGGAACUUGAGUGCAGAAGAGGAGAGUGGAAUUCCAUGUGUAGCGGUGAAAUGCGUAGAUAUAUGGAGGAACACCAGUGGCGAAGGCGACUCUCUGGUCUGUAACUGACGCUGAGGCUCGAAAGCGUGGGGAGCAAACAGGAUUA